This 468-nucleotide ribosomal RNA is filed under the name uncultured bacterium. RNAcentral describes it as "partial 16S ribosomal RNA". It matches the Rfam family "Bacterial small subunit ribosomal RNA", at positions 28 to 507 of the family's 1533-position model. The record is from RNAcentral.
GACGAACGCUGGCGGCGUGCUUAACACAUGCAAGUCGAACGGAAAGGCCCUGCUUUUGUGGGGUGCUCGAGUGGCGAACGGGUGAGUAACACGCGAGUAACCUGCCCUUGACUUUGGGAUAACUUCACGAAACUGGGGCUAAUACAGGAUAGGAGAUCCUGCUGCAUGGGGGGGGUUGGAAAGAUUCGGCGGUUGGGGAUGGACUCGCGGCUUACCCGCUUGUUGGUGGGGUAGUGGCUUACCAAGCCUUUGACGGGUAGCCGGCCUGAGAGGUUGACCGGCCACAAUGGGCCUGCGAGACGGCCCAGACGCCUACCGGAGGCAGAGGGGGAAAAUAUUACGGAGUGGCGGGAAGCGAGAGGUGGCAACGCCGCGUGCGUGAUGCUGUCUUUCGGGUUGUAAACCACUGUCGCCGGCGACAAAGCCUGAGUGACGGUAAUGGGUAAGGAAGCACCGGCUAACUACGUG